AUCUGACGUGUUCCUAAAAGUCUGACAUCUCCAAAUUUUAUUUAGUUUAUGUGUGGUAGAUAUUGAAUGCUGAAAUUUUAAGAGCUUAAUAAUUUUUGUGUUGAAAUUUAACUGAACUAGUAAAUCCUGAUUUUUUUUUUAAAUUGUAAACUUAAUAUUAUCAUUUAGAAAAUAGUAUAAUUUAAUUUGGGAAAUAAUUAAGAAUCGGUUGGGAUAAAAGAGUUUAUGAUGAUGGUUGUAUCAGUAGUAUGAUGGUGAUAAUGAUGGUCAUGGGAGCACUUUUAAUGGUGGAGUCGUCUGUGGGGGGAUUACCGUACUACAAUGGUUGGGAUGCUGGUAAUCACAGUGAUUGUGGUUGCAGUAAUGCACCAAUGACGAAAUGGUGGUGGAAAUGAAGUGAUAGCAGCGAUGUUGGUUGUAGUGAUGAUGAUAUUGGUAGAUGGUAAAUGGUACUCGUUGAUGAUUGAAGAAAAUUAUUAGAAGAAAACAUUACAUAGAUUAUUUUUAUUUCUAGGUCCUUUUGGAUAAAUGAGAUUU
This 537-nucleotide unclassified non-coding RNA is filed under the name Hevea brasiliensis (rubber tree). Lineage: Eukaryota; Viridiplantae; Streptophyta; Magnoliopsida; Malpighiales; Euphorbiaceae. The record is from RNAcentral.